Molecule: ribosomal RNA, 461 nt
Filed under: uncultured bacterium
Lineage: Bacteria
Description: partial 16S ribosomal RNA
Rfam family: Bacterial small subunit ribosomal RNA
Source: RNAcentral
CCUACGGGUGGCAGCAGUGAGGAAUAUUGGUCAAUGGGCGCGAGCCUGAACCAGCCAAGUCGCGUGAGGGAGGACGGCCCUACGGGUUGUAAACCUCUUUUGCCGGGGAGUAACGGGCGUCACGUGUGGCGCUACUGAGAGUACCCGGGGAAAAAGCACCGGCUAACUCCGUGCCAGCAGCCGCGGUAAUACGGAGGAUGCGAGCGUUAUCCGGAUUUAUUGGGUUUAAAGGGAGCGUAGGUGGAUUGUUAAGUCAGUUGUGAAAGUUUGCGGCUCAACCGUAAAAUUGCAGUUGAAACUGGCAGUCUUGAGUACAGUAGAGGUAGGCGGAAUUCGUGGUGUAGCGGUGAAAUGCUUAGAUAUCACGAAGAACUCCGAUUGCGAAGGCAGCUCACUGGACUGCAACUGACACUGAGGCUCGAAAGUGUGGGUAUCAAACAGGAUUAGAUACCCCGGUAGUC